UUGACGGUCUCGUCCUCCAUG
RNAcentral lists this unclassified non-coding RNA (21 nucleotides) under Mus musculus (house mouse). RNAcentral's name for it is "oocyte_clustered_small_RNA11896". Lineage: Eukaryota; Metazoa; Chordata; Mammalia; Rodentia; Muridae. The record is from RNAcentral.